Molecule: ribosomal RNA, 305 nt
Filed under: uncultured bacterium
Lineage: Bacteria
Description: bacterial SSU rRNA
Rfam family: Bacterial small subunit ribosomal RNA
Source: RNAcentral
GCCUACGGGGGGCAGCAGUGGGGAAUAUUGGGCAAUGGAGGAAACUCUGACCCAGCAAUGCCGCGUGAAUGAAGAAGGUCUUCGGAUUGUAAAGUUCUUUAGUCAGGGAAGAAGUCAAUGACGGUACCUGAAGAAUAAGCUCCGGCUAACUACGUGCCAGCAGCCGCGGUAAUACGUAGGGAGCAAGCGUUGUUCGGAUUUACUGGGUGUAAAGGGAGCGUAGACGGAAAGGCAAGUCAGAAGUGAAAACCCAAGGCUCAACCAUGGGACUGCUUUUGAAACUGUCAAACUAGAGUACGGGAGAG